CCUACGGGAGGCAGCAGUGGGGGAUAUUGGACAAUGGGGGGAACCCUGAUCCAGCGAAGCAGCGUGAGUGAAGACGUAUUUCGGUAUGUAAAACUCUGUCAGAAGAGAAGAAAGAAAUGACAGUACCUGACCAAGAAGCCCCGGCUAACUACGAGCAAGCGGCCGCGGUAAUACGUAGGGGGCAAGCGUUAUCCGGAUUUACUGGGUGUAAAGGGAGCGUAGACGGUUAAGUAAGUCUGGAGUGAAAGGCCGGGGCCCAACCCCGGUACUGCUCUGGAAACUAUUGAACUUGAGUGCAGGUGAGGUAAGCGGAAUUCGUAGUGUAGCGGUGAAAUGCGUAGAUAUUAGGAGGAACACCAGUGGCGAAGGCGGCUUACUGGACUGUAACUGACGUUGAGGCUCGAAAGCGUGGGGAGCAAACAGGAUUAGAUACCCCUGUAGUC
RNAcentral lists this ribosomal RNA (443 nucleotides) under uncultured bacterium. RNAcentral describes it as "partial 16S ribosomal RNA". It matches the Rfam family "Bacterial small subunit ribosomal RNA", at positions 338 to 795 of the family's 1533-position model. The record is from RNAcentral.